ACCUCUGGGAUAGCUCAUUUAGUAGAGCAUGAGACUCUUAAUCCUGGGGUUGUGGGUUUGAGCCCCACACUGGGCA
This is a non-coding RNA of Podarcis lilfordi (Lilford's wall lizard), 76 nucleotides long. The record is from the annotation of a GenBank genome assembly. NCBI's taxonomy places the organism in Eukaryota, Metazoa, Chordata, Lepidosauria, Squamata, Lacertidae.